CAAGUACUGGUCUCAGCAGAUUGAGGAGGGCACCACAGUGGUCACCACGCAGUCUGCUGAGGCUGGAGCAGC
Non-coding RNA from Pongo abelii (Sumatran orangutan), 72 nucleotides. The record is from Rfam. Lineage: Eukaryota; Metazoa; Chordata; Mammalia; Primates; Hominidae.